GUUGAGCACCAGGCAUAUAAAGAUGAAAGGGGCACAGUCUAACACAGCACGACGCUUGCACUGUAGCUAGCUAUCAUGGAGGCAGAGACAAUGGGCUAAUACGUUAUGAAUGCUGUGCAUGGAGUUUGCCUGAGAGCGGAUUCUUUACCAACGGAGCUAUGAGGGAAGCCCUGGGGACAUCAGGAGGAAGACAUUUGAAGAAAGGCAAACUGGUUAGCAAAGGUGACAAAAGAGUCAAAUCAGUGUCUUCAAGAAAUCUUGUUUUGGACUUCCCUGGUGGUCCAGUGGUUAAGAAUCCACCUGUCAAUGCAGGGGACAUGGGCUCGAUCCCUGAUCCGGGAAGAUUCCACCUGCCACAGGGCAACUAA
This 368-nucleotide long non-coding RNA is filed under the name Capra hircus (goat). RNAcentral's name for it is "lncRNA (ENSCHIG00000001170.1)". Lineage: Eukaryota; Metazoa; Chordata; Mammalia; Artiodactyla; Bovidae. The record is from RNAcentral.